CACAAAUGAUUCUGUGUGCUCUCUGAAAAUCAGACUGCUGCAGAGAAGAUGCUGCUUCUCUUGCUUUACAGAAAAAAAUAGAUCAUUGUGGUCUGGAAAGAUUUAGGGAUUUUCUUCUGAAUCCUACUGUCCACCAGAGACAACAGUACAAAAUUCCCUGUCUAAAUUACUGGUGGCUCUUUCCGUUCACAAGCCAACAGAAGGGGUUUUGCUAUCAAGAGCCACUUUCCAGCUCUGCUCAGCUGGACAGGAUCAAGAGAAUGGCAUCCAAGUAGCAGUGUUCUUCCCUAAAUCUGUAAGCUCUUUUCAGCAUUCCUGUUGUGCAGACUGCUGUUUUGUUCCAACACAGUAUAGAUGAAAGGCUCGCACGGAGAACCGUACGCUGUGCAUUAGGAGCAGCAGAGAUCCUCUGGGAUCUGAACAGAGAAGGACUGUUUGAGAUGUGCACUCUAUGCUUGUCAAAGAGAAGUAAGUGCUGCAAUAAAAAGAGUAGUUGGAUAUCUAAACUCCCCUCA
RNAcentral lists this long non-coding RNA (515 nucleotides) under Junco hyemalis (dark-eyed junco). RNAcentral describes it as "lncRNA (ENSJHYG00000009298.1)". Lineage: Eukaryota; Metazoa; Chordata; Aves; Passeriformes; Passerellidae. The record is from RNAcentral.